UGGUAUGGGUUUGUACAAACACACAAUGACAUGUAGCCAUCAUUAUAAUAUCACAUAAAGUAUUUUCACUGUCCUAAAUAUCUUCUGUGCUACUCUUAUUCAUUUCUCCCCCCACUGAACAGUACUUGGUACUACUGACCAGACACGCCUUUGCUUUUUUUCCAAACUUUUAUUUCAGAGGAGGGAAAGGAGAAGAUGGAGAAGUAACUCAUUUCCUGGGAAGGAAAUACAUUUCUGUAGUUGGAUCCUCUGACGACUAUUGUCCCUUUAGGGCUGGUCCAUCUAGCACUGCCAAGAUGCACUGCCACCAUGGGUGCAGUGUUCCACAGAAAAUAGGAGUGGGAGAUCUUUUCUGAUUUCUUUUUGCACUCUAUUUAAAGGCUCUUAAUAUUCUAUACGUUUUUGCAUGAAUAGAUAAUGGUACUGUAGUAACAAAAAUGCUUUAUUGAUGAGUCUAUCAUGGCUGCCAACUCUGGCUCCAUUACUCAAGGUCAAGGAAACUGGUUGGCUCUUUUUUCCUUCAAGAAGUAUUCUCUCCCAGAGAAUUCCUAAGUUUCUCUAGAGGGACUUUCUUUUGGGCUUAUUUCUUCAUUCACCACUUGAACAAGUCUUUUGGAACAAAACCAGUGAACACAGUUUGAAUCCUCCUCUCAAAAGCUAUUUAGCCAACUUUUAAAUGGCCAGAGCAGCCUCUUUCACUAGUUUGUCUGGUGUGACCAGACAUGUCUGAAUACAGGGAAAUUCAUAACUGGACACCUAUUACUUAUCUCUUGAGAAAUUCUUUUUGUCUUUCUGUAAAUCUAAAGAAAGAACAUUAGCGUAUAAAAAUGGCUUACUGAAAAACUGUUACUUUUUCACUUAUACUGUAGUUUAGAUUUCAGAUAAAAAAAUCGAAUAUGGGAAGCAAAAGAAAAAAAAUGAAUGAAGAAGAAGAAUUCAUAGAUCAAAGCCUCAGUGACUUACAAAAAAGAUGCCUCAUAUCAUGAGGGUGACCUGGGAACCAGAGCUGACAUGCCCAAGUACUAGAAGACAUCAAUUCGAAGAAUCUCCAGCAGAUCCCCUUUGUAUGCAUUUAAUGUUGCAAAUGAUAUGUACUAAGCUUUAUAUUCAGAUAUAAAGCUUGGUGUGUUCUAAAUCCCUGGGGUAAAAGAGGAGCGUUCCUCAGAUAAUUAUUUUGUCUUUUAGCCAAAAAGGGAAGUGGGUUGAUCCUUGCAGAUUAAUAAUAAUGAUCUUGUUGGUUCCUGUUUUACAGGAUUUAUACCUUUGAUUCUUUAUUUUCUCUUGUCUAAAUUUUAUCAAUAUGUGAGCUGAUUUGCAUGUACUCUGAUAAACUAUAAAAAAUGGGCCUUCUUGAGGACCAUUACUUGGAACAUAUAGUAUGUGAUUGUUCAACUUAAUUUUAUCCAGACAGAUAGUAUCUCCUACCAGGUAUGACCUUGUAUACCAUGUAUAUUUGGUUUAAACAUUGGCCUUAUUCAAAGGUGUAUCUGCUUUUUGAUCUGAACUGUCUAGAUGCUGUUAAAUUGGAUUUGUACCCAAAUGUAACUGGCGAUUCUCCUGAAUGUCAUGUCUUUUAGAAGCACAUUACAGAAGCUAUGUUCAUGUCCUUGGUUAGAUGGUAAAAUAAUUACAAUCUAGAAACAGGCAACAUUUUAACAUCGUGUUCACUAAAUAGCUCUGCUGAGAGAAUUUUGUUUAUAUCAGGUGUAUCAGUAAUGUGUUAGAACCUACAUUUCGCCUGAAUGUAAGCAGAGAAGAAAUCUCUUGAUUAAAAAUAAGGUCCUUGGAGUUCCCGUCGUGGCUCAGUGGUUAACGAAUCUGACUAGGAACCAUGAGGUUGUGGGUUUGAUCCCUGGCCUUGCUCAGUUGGGUUAAGGAUCUGGUGUUUCCAUGAGCUGUGGGGUAGAUUGCAGACCCAGCUUGGAUCCCACGUUGCUGUGGCUGUGGUGUAGGCCGGCAGCUGUAGCUCCAAUUAGACCCCUAGCCUAGGAACCUCCAUAUGACACAGGAGCGGCUCUAGAAAAGGCAAAAAGACCAAAAAAAAUAAAUAAAUAAAUUUAAAAAAUAAAAAUAAGGUCCUAAUUUUGAAGAAGGCAUAAUUGUGUUAGUUUUGUCCCUGGCAUGCUAGUGAGUAGAGAUGGCAUAAGUUAAGAUCCAAGAUUAAUGUUAAAGAUAGAACUGGAGGGAGAUUAAUUUCUUUAAUUGUGGAUACAAAAAGGAAAACUUCUUAACACCCCUGAAAAGGGUUUUAGAGACAUAAUAAUCACAAUCACAUCUCAUUACAGCUCAAAUUCGUCACAGCAAUCUAAAGAUAAAAAUCAAUGUAAAAAUGUUUAAUCAAUGGAAAAUGCUCUAUAAAUGUGAAAGGGCAGUUUAGUUUAUAUUUUACCAUGAACAUGUAUAGAAGACAAAUUUAGUAUACCCGAUCAAUUUUCCAAGUCUAAAUUAAAGGUUUUUAGAAAUAUAUUCAGCAUAUAUAAUUGCUGGUCUCCAAAUGUGGAGGACCAGGGUGAAGCUAUGAAUCAGCCUAUAGCCAUAGCUGUAAACUUGGAGAUUCUGAGCCUUAGUAGUCUUAUGUAUUUGGUUAUGUUCCUGCCAAGCAUCUUGCUAUGGGCUGUAGAAACCUUGUGGGUUCUAUUUUCUAAUUUGUUGCUAAUGGUACCUUGAUCCAAACAGCCACUCAGGUCAGAAUUUGGAGAUGCUUCCCAUGUCUGUUCUUUCCCUUUUAUAUCCAAUUGGUAACCAUUUUGUUCUACCUAUAUAAUAUAUGUAUUUAUUUUUGCCCAUUUUCUGUCUCUUUUUUUGCAUUUUAUUUUAUUUUUUAAUAUAAUAAUUUUUUUUUCCAUUAUAGCUCAUUUACAGUGUUCUGUCAAUUUUCUACUGUAGAGAAUGGUGACCCAGUUACACAAACAUAUAUAUACAUUCUUUUUUCUCACAUUAUCAUGCUCCAUCAUAAGUGACCAGACAUAGUUCCAUUUUCUAAGGUCCACAGGCAUCUUUCAUCACUUGGACUAUAACUAUACAGUUUCAUCUAUUCUUAACAAAUUUACAAGACUCAAAGCUUCCCCACAUCCUUUUGGUCCUUUUUUUAAAAAGCCCAUUAUUUAUAAAGGUUUCUUAAGCAUGUUGGGAUCACAUAUGCUACUAUAAUCAAGAAAAUAAUGCCUCUCCCAAUGUGCUGAUAUGAAAAGAAAGCAAGGAUAAUUCAGUUAAAAAUGAAAUUGCCUUGGAGUUCCCAUUGUGGCUCUGUGGUUAACAAAUCCGACUAGGAACCAUGAGGUUGUGGGUUUGAUCCCUGGCCUCCCUCAUGGGUUAAGGAUUCAGCAUCUCCACAAGCUGCAGCAUAGUUUGCAAAUGUGCCUUGGAUCCAGUGUUGCUAUGGCAGGGGUGUAGGCCUGUAGCUGCAGCUCUAAUUGACCCCUGGCCUGAGAACUUCCAUAUGCCACAGGGAUGGCCCUAAAAGAAAAAAAAUAUCAAUUUGCAGAAAACCAUGAACCAUGAAGUUAGUUCACCAGACAUGAAGCUCAAUAAACAUUGACUGAAUUAAUAUGUGAUUACCUAAAUAACCCAUAAUCCUUCUAAAUAAUUGCCUUUGUCCUAGCUCCUUCCUCUUCUCAGAUGGAAUGGUCUUCAAUUUCUCUGGUGUGCUCUUAUUUAUCUCAAAUCUCAAACUAAGUAUUAUGUCUGUGGGGAUGUCUUCUCUUAUUCCACAAGGAUCCCAGCAGCAUUGUGUACAAAUGCGUUUCCUGACAACCUAUUGAAUUCUAGGUCCUUGUGUAGCUUUUCCUUCAUAACACUUAUCAGCAGUCAGUAUUACGUAUUUGCUUAUUUAUUGACAAGUUACUUGUCUUUCCCAGGGAAGGUUAACUCCAUAUGUUCAAGGACUUAAUAUAUUUUACUUAUGGUUGAAUCCUUAUUGUCUAGAGCAAUACCUGAUCCAUUUAAAGCAUUUCAUAUAAUAUGUACUGAAUAAAUCUCUAUUAGCACUUAUUAUUUUUAUAUGUCACUUCAUUAAAUUAGAAGUCUUUUAUUUAUUUUUAUUUUUAUUUAUAUUUUUGCUUUUUAGGGCCACACCUAUGGUUAUGGAAGUUUCCAGGCUAGGAGUCUAAUUGGAGCUGCAACUGCCAGUCUCUGCCACAGUCACAGCAACAUAGGAUCUGAGCCACAUCUGUGACUACACCACAGCUCAUGUUAAUGCUGGAUCCUUAACCCACUGGGCAAGGCCAGGGAUCAAACCAUGUCUUCAUGGAUACUAGUUGGGUUUGUUACCACUGAGCCACAACAGGAACUCCAGAAGUCCUUUAUUUUUUAAUUAAAUUUAUUUUUAUUAGGGUAUAGUUGAUUUAGUGUUGAGUCAAUUUCUGCUGUACAGCAUAGUGACCCAGUCAUAUAUAUAUGACUUUUUUCUCAUAUUAUCUUCCAUUAUGUUCUAUCCCAAGAGAGUGGAUGUAUUUCCCUCUGCUGUACAGUAGGACCUCAUUGCUUAUCCAUUCUAAAUUUGAUAGCUUGCAUCUACCAACCCCAAUUUCCCCAUCCAUCCCACUUCCCCCUGACCCCUUGGCAACCACAAU
RNAcentral lists this long non-coding RNA (4571 nucleotides) under Sus scrofa (pig). RNAcentral's name for it is "lncRNA (ENSSSCG00035076750.1, ENSSSCG00055005020.1)". Lineage: Eukaryota; Metazoa; Chordata; Mammalia; Artiodactyla; Suidae. The record is from RNAcentral.